GAUGAACGCUAGCUACAGGCUUAACACAUGCAAGUCGAGGGGCAGCAUGGUCUUAGCUUGCUAAGGCCGAUGGCGACCGGCGCACGGGUGAGUAACACGUAUCCAACCUGCCGUCUACUCUUGGACAGCCUUCUGAAAGGAAGAUUAAUACAAGAUGGCAUCAUGAGUCCGCAUGUUCACAUGAUUAAAGGUAUUCCGGUAGACGAUGGGGAUGCGUUCCAUUAGCUUGUUGGCGGGGUAACGGCCCACCAAGGCAUCGAUGGAUAGGGGUUCUGAGAGGAAGGUCCCCCACAUUGGAACUGAGACACGGUCCAA
This 315-nucleotide ribosomal RNA is filed under the name uncultured bacterium. RNAcentral's name for it is "bacterial SSU rRNA". It matches the Rfam family "Bacterial small subunit ribosomal RNA", at positions 28 to 334 of the family's 1533-position model. The record is from RNAcentral.